Molecule: long non-coding RNA, 2561 nt
Organism: Dendronephthya gigantea
Lineage: Eukaryota; Metazoa; Cnidaria; Anthozoa; Malacalcyonacea; Nephtheidae
Exons: 4
Source: RefSeq, a predicted model, not a curated record
CAUAUAUUUGUAAUCAGCAUAGCAUGAGUAGUCUGCUCUAUCCAAAACAAUUUGAAGAACAUUGUUACAAAGAAAAGCAUUGUGCAUGAUAAGGACAACAGACUUUAUGCAUAAUGACGUAUCAAGCUGAGACGCCUGCAGGGAAUUCUGGUUUUUGUAGUCGCUGCAAAAAAUUAAAACCUCAAAAUUCCCUGCCAUGACUACUAAGACCAGAAUUCCCUGCAGGUGUCACUAGCUUGUUACGUCAUUAUGCAUAAGGUCUAUUAGGAGCUUUUGCUUUUUUUAGCUACAGGGAAGGGUAUUACCAGCAGGCCCGGAGCUAGCGGGGUUGGGGGUGUCACACACACACACCCCCAGAAAAUUUAUUCUGAGUUUCAGUUGGUAAAAUUGCUAUUUUAGUCGGCAGACAAAAAUAUUUUUGACAACUAUAAAGAAUAUUGGCGAUUACUUGAAGUCGGUAAAUAUCACUAUGUCAUCCUGUUUCUACUCUGCAUAAUUACUAUAGACUGAUCCAAUAGAAACUUGACAAAGUUUCAUCCAGAGUGUAAUCGGUACAAGUCCGUCGAUCAGUCGCCAGUCGGUUUCGAUGACUAAUCUGGUCUUUAAAAAGGGAAAUGUCUUCGGACAACAUAUAAAGUUCUGGGAAGGUGAUUAUAAGAAAGGACAAAUUGCUGAUUGCUAAUUAUGUACAUUGCACGGGUGUAAAAAUGUUUUGUCUGUUGGAAGAGAAUUAAAGAACACAAAAGAUCAUUGAGGUACCUAAAUACCAUUUCCGGGCAUCAAUCUUAUUUGUCACAAAUUCGCCUAUAUAUGCCUGAGUUUGCCUCAAAUUGCCUGCCUCGUACACCAAAUCACACGUACAGACAAGGAGCGACAUCAUAUAACGGACUGAAUAUAGCUCUAAAGGUCUGUAAUGUUUGACAUAGUUGUGUCAAUAAUCGCAAGUCAAUUUCUUGGUGCGUUUUGGUAUUCGCCACUUUUGGUUGGAAAGCAAUGGUCAUGUCUUGUUUUUCCUGGCUGUAGCAUAGACGAAAUAAAGAAUCUAUUAAGUGUUAAAAUAAACUAUGGAAUAGGGCUUAUUUCUAGCGUCUUCCUGGCGUUGCUGCUCCAGUUCUAUUUCCUACCGUCAGUGACGAGUGUUCCUGAGGCAAUCAAUAUUGCUAUUUUGCUUGGUGUAUUUUCUGCCAUUCUCGAAGUCUGCCAUUAUGGGUUUGAAGGACGAUCGUGGAAAUUAUUCAUCAUUGAUCACACUCAUAAUUUUCUUAAUAUUCUGGUUAUUAGCUGUGUGCCGAUUGCAAUUUAACCAGUCCAGCUUUGCUGAUGACAUUGUAAUAGCUAGGGUACAGUUGAAGAACAACCUGGUUUUAACCUAGUUAUAUUUCUUACAAUAUAUUUAAGAACAAUGUUUGAGGGUCAUAUAAAUGUAUAUAUUGCACGUUAAUUAAACAAUAAACCUUUAACACAAAACGCGCAAAGCAUAAUGGGGGCAUAAGUUUCAAGCUUAAUAUAAGAGAAUAUUGCCGCUAUUUACUCGUGAAUGAAAUAUUUUCUUUAGGGAUGUUGAUUUCACAAUAUCCCUGGGACAUGACUCGAUAUGAACUGAUCGACUUUUCUCCUAAUGUUCUUGGUACAUUUAAAGUCUGAAGUUUUGAUUUAAUUAAGGUUUAGAAUUUUAUGUUAAUAAAAGAAACCUUUUCUAUAUAUGCAUGGAGUCACAAUAACAGCGACGGUUUUCCUGUUCGGCAUAGUCAAUAUAGCAUUUUCAAUGAUAUUCUUUGAGCACUUUGUUCAGCCCUUAUAAUUGUAGCUUGGCUGAAUUCUCUUGCUUAAACUGACGCCUUUUUCUUUGAUAACAUAACUUAACAUAGAUAUGUAUCUAAUCACGACAGCAGAAGUGGGAAAGAAUUGCUUACGAAUUCGCACAAAUGAGAAACAGGCUAUUGUCGAUCUAAAGCACGGCGAGGAUGUCAAACCUAUUGAAUUAUUGAGUCGAGUCCAUAGAUAAUUUGAAGUGGCAGACUUAUAGGCACCAGCAAACCGGGCUGCCACCCAACAUAAAGAAAAGCGUGUGGGACCUAAAACAAAAUGACCGACACUUUCACAGCUGUGUGAAUUUUAUACGAUAUAUGCUAAGUGUACGUAAUAGACACCAGAAAUUACGCACUAUACAGCGAACCUUGCUAAUGGCUAUAACAUGUUACCUUUAUAGAUGGUGACUGGUUUCCAAAUAUACACAUUCAACUCAAAUAUAUCAUCAAAAACAGUUACAAUUAUCUGUAGUUGCAAGGUCAAUACUGCUAUUAUAUUUAAAUGUUUUAACCCAUUGUCUAUAUAAUGACCUUACAUGGCGCUUGAAAGUUCUGGAGAUUGAAAAUCAUUCAACUUACUUUUAGUCCUAAUUUCCGAUGUUGAAGUGGUUUCGUACAAAGAAACGCGUCAUGCUGACGUCAUUUGAGAAAAAAUUAGCGGUUCAUGGGCGUAUUUCGCGCCAUUAAGAGAAGAAGUAUAUUACCGCUGUUGGGCAGAGUACUUGAGUGUUUGUUUAUAGCCUCUUGAAAACA